Molecule: ribosomal RNA, 253 nt
Filed under: uncultured bacterium
Lineage: Bacteria
Description: partial 16S ribosomal RNA
Rfam family: Bacterial small subunit ribosomal RNA
Source: RNAcentral
UACGUAGGGUGCGAGCGUUAAUCGGAAUUACUGGGCGUAAAGCGUGUGUAGGCGGUCCAUUAAGUCGGGUGUGAAAGCCCUGGGCUCAACCCAGGAAGUGCACUCGAAACUGGCGGGCUAGAGUAUCGGAGAGGUUGGUGGAAUUCUCGGUGUAGAGGUGAAAUUCGUAGAUAUCGAGAGGAACACCGGUGGCGAAGGCGGCCAACUGGACGAAUACUGACGCUGAGACACGAAAGCGUGGGGAGCGAACAGG